UACGUAGGGUGCAAGCGUUUAAUCGGAAUUACUGGGCGUAAAGCGUGCGCAGGCGGUUUUGUAAGUCUGUCGUGAAAGCCCCCGGGCUUAACCUGGGAAUUGCGAUGGAGACUGCAAGGCUUGAAUCUGGCAGAGGGGGGGUAGAAUUCCACGUGUAGCAGUGAAAUGCGUAGAGAUGAUGGAGGAACACCGAUGGCGAAGGCAGCCCCCUGGGUCAAGACUGACGCUCAUGCACGAAAGCGUGGGGAGCAAACAGG
Molecule: ribosomal RNA, 257 nt
Filed under: uncultured bacterium
Lineage: Bacteria
Description: partial 16S ribosomal RNA
Rfam family: Bacterial small subunit ribosomal RNA
Source: RNAcentral